RNAcentral lists this ribosomal RNA (492 nucleotides) under uncultured bacterium. RNAcentral's name for it is "partial 16S ribosomal RNA". It matches the Rfam family "Bacterial small subunit ribosomal RNA", at positions 29 to 507 of the family's 1533-position model. The record is from RNAcentral.
AGUGAACGCUGGCGGUAGGCCUAACACAUGCAAGUCGAACGGCAGCACAGUAAGAGCUUGCUCUUACGGGUGGCGAGUGGCGGACGGGUGAGGAAUACAUCGGAAUCUACUUUUUCGUGGGGGAUAACGUAGGGAAACUUACGCUAAUACCGCAUACGACCUACGGGUGAAAGCAGGGGAUCUUCGGACCUUGCGCGAUUGAAUGAGCCGAUGUCGGAUUAGCUAGUUGGCGGGGUAAAGGCCCACCAAGGCGACGAUCCGUAGCUGGUCUGAGAGGAUGAUCAGCCACACUGGAAUUGAGACACGGUCCAGACUCCUACGGGAGGCAGCAGUGGGGAAUAUUGGACAAUGGGCGCAAGCCUGAUCCAGCCAUACCGCGUGGGUGAAGAAGGCCUUCGGGUUGUAAAGCCCUUCUGUUGGGAAAGAAAAGCAGCAGGUUAAUACCCCGCUGUUCUGACGGUACCCAAAGAAUAAGCACCGGCUAACUUCGUG